RNAcentral lists this ribosomal RNA (253 nucleotides) under uncultured bacterium. RNAcentral describes it as "partial 16S ribosomal RNA". It matches the Rfam family "Bacterial small subunit ribosomal RNA", at positions 524 to 776 of the family's 1533-position model. The record is from RNAcentral.
UACGUAGGUGGCGAGCGUUGUCCGGAUUUACUGGGCGUAAAGAGCGCGCAGGCGGUCGUACAAGUCGCGUGUGAAAGCCCCCGGCUCAACUGGGGAGGGUCACGCGAUACUGUUCGACUCGAAGGCAGGAGAGGGAAGUGGAAUUCCCGGUGUAGUGGUGAAAUGCGUAGAUAUCGGGAGGAACACCAGUGGCGAAGGCGACUACCUGGCCUGUUCUUGACGCUGAGGCGCGAAAGCUAGGGGAGCAAACGGG